AACGAACGCUGGCGGCAUGCCUAACACAUGCAAGUCGAACGAGACCUUCGGGUCUAGUGGCGCACGGGUGCGUAACGCGUGGGAAUCUGCCCUUAGGUUCGGAAUAAACUUCGGGAAACUGAAGCUAAUACCGGAUGAUGACGUAAGUCCAAAGAUUUAUCGCCUAAGGAUGAGCCCGCGUUGGAUUAGCUAGUUGGUGAGGUAAAGGCUCACCAAGGCGACGAUCCAUAGCUGGUCUGAGAGGAUGAUCAGCCACACUGGGACUGAGACACGGCCCAGACUCCUACGGGAGGCAGCAGUGGGGAAUAUUGGACAAUGGGCGAAAGCCUGAUCCAGCAAUGCCGCGUGAGUGAUGAAGGCCUUAGGGUUGUAAGCUCUUUACCCGGGAUGAUAAUGACAGUACCGGGA
This 408-nucleotide ribosomal RNA is filed under the name uncultured bacterium. Its description in RNAcentral is "bacterial SSU rRNA". It matches the Rfam family "Bacterial small subunit ribosomal RNA", at positions 29 to 483 of the family's 1533-position model. The record is from RNAcentral.